Molecule: non-coding RNA, 31 nt
Filed under: Rattus norvegicus (Norway rat)
Lineage: Eukaryota; Metazoa; Chordata; Mammalia; Rodentia; Muridae
Source: RNAcentral
UGUACAGGUAGAAAGUAAUAAGGAUUUGGUU